RNAcentral lists this long non-coding RNA (239 nucleotides) under Capsicum annuum. RNAcentral's name for it is "long non-coding RNA (CANN_LNC008161)". Lineage: Eukaryota; Viridiplantae; Streptophyta; Magnoliopsida; Solanales; Solanaceae. The record is from RNAcentral.
GAGAGAAUACCAUGCCAUUGAAGGAGCUUGUCAUAAUCAAUAUUGUUGAUACUUCUCCAGCUCUUGGUCUAAUUGGCUAGAUAUAAAUCAGACAAAUUAAGGACUAGAAAAGUUUAGCUAUUUCUCAAGAAGAUAUUCCAAAAGUCUUGGAUGAUAGGGAAUUCAAACAAAAUAUCUUGUUGUUACACACUUCACAAUUUGGAUUUAAAUUGAUACCCAUUCUUGAGAGAGUGCGUCCG